Molecule: small nucleolar RNA, 106 nt
Organism: Solanum dulcamara
Lineage: Eukaryota; Viridiplantae; Streptophyta; Magnoliopsida; Solanales; Solanaceae
Source: RefSeq, a predicted model, not a curated record
UGGUGAUGAUGGAGAAACUCAGUAGUAACAUUUUAAAUCUAUCUCAUGCGUGGGGAAAGCCUUCUCCUUCCUUUUGCUUAAAGCCCAAAAUCUCACUUCUUAAUUU